AACGUAGGAGACAAGCGUUAUCCGAAUUUACUGGGCGUAAAGCGCGUGCAGGUGGUUGGGUAAGUUGAAUGUGAAAUCUCCUGGCUCAACUAGGAGAGGCUGUUCAAGACUGCCUGGCUAGAGGGCGGUAGAGGGAGGUGGAAUUCCCGGUGUAGUGGUGAAAUGCGUAGAUAUCGGGAGGAACACCUGUGGCGAAAGCGGCCUCCUGGACCGUACCUGACGCUCAGACGCGAAAGCUAGGGGAGUGAACGGG
RNAcentral lists this ribosomal RNA (253 nucleotides) under uncultured Bellilinea sp. RNAcentral describes it as "partial 16S ribosomal RNA". It matches the Rfam family "Bacterial small subunit ribosomal RNA", at positions 524 to 776 of the family's 1533-position model. Lineage: Bacteria; Bacillati; Chloroflexota; Anaerolineae; Anaerolineales; Anaerolineaceae. The record is from RNAcentral.